RNAcentral lists this ribosomal RNA (457 nucleotides) under uncultured bacterium. RNAcentral's name for it is "bacterial SSU rRNA". It matches the Rfam family "Bacterial small subunit ribosomal RNA", at positions 29 to 524 of the family's 1533-position model. The record is from RNAcentral.
UUGAACGCUGGCGGCGUGGCUAAAGCAUGCAAGUCGAACGAGAACCCAGCAAUGGGGGACAGUGGCGAAAGGGUGAGGAAUACAUUCCUACGUGCCUCGAGGUGGGGAAUAGGCGGGGGAAACUCCGCGUAAUGCCCCAUGUGAUCUCCGGAUGAAAGCCGUAAGGCGCCUUGAGAGCGGGGAAUGUCCUAUCAGGUAGUUGGCGGGGUAACGGCCCACCAAGCCUAUGACGGGUAGCAGGCGUGAGAGCGCGGCCUGCCACAUCGGGACUGAGACACUGCCCGGACUCCUACGGGAGGCUGCAGCGACGAAUAUUCCGCAAUGGGCGAAAGCCUGACGGAGCGACGCCGCGUGCAGGAUGAAGCGGCUCUGCCGUGUAAACUGCUGUCAGGGUGGAGAAAUAAUGAUCACACCCAAAGGAAGGGCCUGCUAAUCUCGUGCCAGCAGCCGCGGUAAU